This 505-nucleotide ribosomal RNA is filed under the name uncultured bacterium. RNAcentral describes it as "partial 16S ribosomal RNA". It matches the Rfam family "Bacterial small subunit ribosomal RNA", at positions 28 to 507 of the family's 1533-position model. The record is from RNAcentral.
GACGAACGCUGGCGGCGUGCCUAAUACAUGCCAGUAGAACGCACGGUUUAUACCGUAGCUUGCUACACCAUAGACUGUGAGUUGCGAACGGGUGAGUAACGCGUAGGUAACCUGCCUGGUAGCGGGGGAUAACUAUUGGAAACGAUAGCUAAUACCGCAUAAUAUUAAUUAUUGCAUGAUAAUUAAUUGAAAGGUGCAAUUGCACCACUACCAGAUGGACCUGCGUUGUAUUAGCUAGUAGGUGAGGUAACGGCUCACCUAGGCGACGAUACAUAGCCGACAUGAGAGGGGGAUCGGCCACACUGGGACUGAGACACGGCCCAGACUCCUACGGGAGGCAGCAGUAGGGAAUCUUCGGCAAUGGACGAAAGUCUGACCGAGCAACGCCGCGUGAGUGAAGAAGGUUUUCGGAUCGUAAAGCUCUGUUGUAAGAGAAGAACGGGUGUGAGAGUGGAAAGUUCACACUGUGACGGUAUCUUACCAGAAAGGGACGGCUAACUACGUG